RNAcentral lists this ribosomal RNA (253 nucleotides) under uncultured bacterium. Its description in RNAcentral is "partial 16S ribosomal RNA". It matches the Rfam family "Bacterial small subunit ribosomal RNA", at positions 524 to 776 of the family's 1533-position model. The record is from RNAcentral.
GACGAGGGGUCCUAGCGUUGUUCGGAAUCAUUGGGCGUAAAGCGUAUGUAGGCUGCCUUGCAAGUCAGUUGUGAAAGCCCCGGGCUCAACCCGGGAAGUGCUUCUGAUACUGCAUGGCUUGAAUACUGGAGAGGGUAGUGGAAUUCCUGGUGUAGUGGUGAAAUACGUAGAUAUCAGGAGGAACAUCGGUGGCGAAGGCGGCUACCUGGCCAUGUAUUGACGCUGAGAUACGAAAGCGUGGGGAGCAAACAGG